RNAcentral lists this unclassified non-coding RNA (396 nucleotides) under Bombus terrestris (buff-tailed bumblebee). RNAcentral's name for it is "misc RNA ENSBTSG00005033553.1". The record is from RNAcentral. Lineage: Eukaryota; Metazoa; Arthropoda; Insecta; Hymenoptera; Apidae.
ACGUAUAGUAAUAAGUGGAGAGAGUGGUUACAUGUUACACGUGCGUGAACUUGUGUACGGAAGAGUAUAAGUGAAAAGUGACCGGGUUACGAUACUCGAUAUCGAACGUAAUUACGCGCUCGAUCGAUUUGAAAAAUUGUUGACGUUCGAUGCAGCUCAGACCGACACAAUGUGCCCGCAGAACGUACAUGCGUCAUUUUUCUAAACGAAUUACACAUGAUUCAUAUCCUCGUUACAAUACAACCGCAUAAUGUUGCACUGAUUCAUAGAUGCUUGUAUGGCUUAUUAGAAAAACAGUUGCUAGCAUACAUGAACAUUCGUAAGAAGGAAAAGAUUGAAUAUUAUUAAAUAUUAACUCAAAAUAAUAUAUUUAAUAUAGGAAUGAGAAUCAUGGCA